AUACGGAGGGGGUUAGCGUUGUUCGGAAUUACUGGGCGUAAAGCGCACGUAGGCGGACUGGAAAGUUGGGAGUGAAAUCCCGGGGCUCAACCCCGGAACUGCCUCCAAAACUUCCAAUCUAGAGAUCGAGAGAGGUGAGUGGAAUUCCAAGUGUAGAGGUGAAAUUCGUAGAUAUUUGGAGGAACACCAGUGGCGAAGGCGGCUCACUGGCUCGAUACUGACGCUGCGGUGCGAAAGCGUGGGGAGCAAACAGGAUUAGAAACCCCUGUAGUCC
RNAcentral lists this ribosomal RNA (274 nucleotides) under uncultured bacterium. RNAcentral describes it as "partial 16S ribosomal RNA". It matches the Rfam family "Bacterial small subunit ribosomal RNA", at positions 523 to 796 of the family's 1533-position model. The record is from RNAcentral.